Long non-coding RNA from Mauremys mutica (yellowpond turtle), 975 nucleotides. RefSeq lists it as uncharacterized. The record is from RefSeq and is a predicted model, not a curated record. The transcript is spliced from 7 exons. NCBI's taxonomy places the organism in Eukaryota, Metazoa, Chordata, Testudines, Geoemydidae.
UCACGGAUUAAUGUUUCUGCCUCUGGUUCACUUCAUUCCGAGAAAUAACACUGAUUAGUUCCUGUUCUCAGCCAAUUGCAAAGCUGCUCUCUUCCCUGUCCCACCUACCACUUCCUCUUCUCUGUCUCUUUCACCCUCACGGUACUUCCUGUAUCUGUACUCCCAGACCUAGGCUAACGUGGUGGGUAAGUUGCACGAUCUCUAAUGCGGUUUGAAUCGUUUGCCGGCCACCCACGUGUUCAGACUGUACGUGGCGGAGAGCGGUGUUCCCGGGAUGGACUCGGGCCGUGGGGCUGUUGAAUUCGGAACGCGGGGGUCACCCCGUUAGGUGGGGCCGAAGGCUGAAAAUGGAAUUGAUUUGCUGGGAGGAAACAAUUGCCUUGGACCAAUGCCAUGUUCCAAAUACGCGGAGCAAUGAGCUGGACUUAACCAAGACCUGUAAUUUCAAACCUGGAGUGAGGACGCCAGAGUAUUCAUGUUAGGUGGUCUGGCAGGCAGGACCAUGAUCUAUCUCCCUUCCCCCAGAUGGUGGAGAGGCUGGAGACAGACUCCCCAACCCCACAAAACGAUUGGGGCUGAAGUGGAGAAAUGAAGUAAUUGAAUCUUGAAAAUGGGCUGAAAUGAAACAUCCCGGACCUGAGCACACAGGACAGUAGGGGGUGGAGUUGGGAAGCUCGGGAGCCCAUGUUGGAACACGAGGCAGUUGGGGGCAGGAACUCUAAAAACAAAACUGGAUGGUUUCUCCUCUCCCUCCUCACCCUGGAUCCCUUAUAGGAAUCACAGAUGGAUGAUUUGAGAUAAGCCUUCAAGGAAAAUGUAUCUUUCUCUCCACCGACAUCAACUGUAAGAGAGAAUUUGGGCCCUAAAGAUUAAAAGUUUUGGCCCGUCUCUGAUCUGUAUUACAAGGACUCUUCGAAGUUAUGUCCAGGAAAGUCUGUGUACUAAAAAUAGGAUUAAACUAGAAUGGAUGUGUAA